Long non-coding RNA from Phyllopteryx taeniolatus (common seadragon), 397 nucleotides. RefSeq lists it as uncharacterized. NCBI's taxonomy places the organism in Eukaryota, Metazoa, Chordata, Actinopteri, Syngnathiformes, Syngnathidae. The record is from RefSeq and is a predicted model, not a curated record. The transcript is spliced from 2 exons.
UUUCAUGUUGCUCUUGUCAGGUGCUGGAGGAGGAGGAGCUUGGACUCUGAUGCCGGGGUCCUGGGCUGAGAUGGACAGGGUGGUGCAGGUGCUGAUGAGAAGGAUGCCCAGACCCACACAAAGCACGAGCUAUUGGCCGAUGAGAGCGGGGCAUAUGAAGCAGAUGAGGCUACCCAUGGUGGCUCCAGUCAGACCCAAAAUGGUUUCCACUAAAGAGACACAGAAGCAGACAUGUUGAUUUUGUAGUCUCACAAUGGUUUGUAAUCAGUAACAUCUGGAAAAGUGAUUUAAAGUUGAUUAAACACAGUGGUGGAAGCACUGAUCUAUAUUUAUAACCUCAAUUCUAAUAUACAUUUUUUCCCCAUUAAAUCGUAAUUUAUUCCAAACAGUCACUCAA